Molecule: unclassified non-coding RNA, 348 nt
Filed under: soil metagenome
Description: partial contains 5.8S ribosomal RNA, internal transcribed spacer 2, and large subunit ribosomal RNA
Rfam family: 5.8S ribosomal RNA (bases 1-120)
Source: RNAcentral
GAUGAAGAACGUAGCGAAAUGCGAUAAGUAAUGUGAAUUGCAGAAUUCAGUGAAUCAUCGAAUCUUUGAACGCACAUUGCGCCCGCCAGUAUUCUGGCGGGCAUGCCUGUCUGAGCGUCAUUUCAACCCUCAUGCCCCUAGGGCGUGGUGUUGGGGAUCGGCCAAAGCCCGCGAGGGACGGCCGGCCCCUAAAUCUAGUGGCGGACCCGUCGUGGCCUCCUCUGCGAAGUAGUGAUAUUCCGCAUCGGAGAGCGAUGAGCCCCUGCCGUUAAACCCCCAACUUUCCAAGGUUGACCUCAGAUCAGGUAGGAAUACCCGCUGAACUUAAGCGUAUCAAUAAGCGGAGGA